This 72-nucleotide transfer RNA is filed under the name Cavia porcellus (domestic guinea pig). It matches the Rfam family "tRNA". Rfam says of the family: Transfer RNA (tRNA) molecules are approximately 80 nucleotides in length. Their secondary structure includes four short double-helical elements and three loops (D, anti-codon, and T loops). Further hydrogen bonds mediate the characteristic L-shaped molecular structure. tRNAs have two regions of fundamental functional importance: the anti-codon, which is responsible for specific mRNA codon recognition, and the 3' end, to which the tRNAs corresponding amino acid is attached (by aminoacyl-tRNA synthetases). tRNAs cope with the degeneracy of the genetic code in two manners: having more than one tRNA (with a specific anti-codon) for a particular amino acid; and 'wobble' base-pairing, i.e. permitting non-standard base-pairing at the 3rd anti-codon position. Lineage: Eukaryota; Metazoa; Chordata; Mammalia; Rodentia; Caviidae. The record is from Rfam by way of RNAcentral.
UUGGGUAUAACUCAAUGGUAGAGUACUUGCAUGGUAUGUAAGAGACACUGAGUUUGAUACCCAGCACCUAGG